This 957-nucleotide ribosomal RNA is filed under the name uncultured archaeon. RNAcentral's name for it is "bacterial SSU rRNA". It matches the Rfam family "Archaeal small subunit ribosomal RNA", at positions 1 to 934 of the family's 1478-position model. The record is from RNAcentral.
UUUUCCGGUUGAUCCCGCCGGACCCCACUGCUAUCGAGAUGGGACUAAGCCAUGCUAGUUGAACGACCCCGGACUAUGGCGGGGAAGUGGCAUACUGCUCAGUAACACGUAGCUAACCUACCCUCAGGACGGGCAUAACCUCGGGAAACUGAGGCUAAUACCCGAUAGGUGUGGAUUCCUGGAAUGGUUUCACACUUAAAAGUCUACGAAUCCAUGUUGUUUGUAUUCGCCUGAGGACGGGGCUGCGGCCGAUCAGGCUGUUGGCGAGGUAAAGGCUCACCAAACCUUUGACCGGUACGGGCCGUGAGAGCGGUAGCCCGGAGAUGGGCACUGAGAUAAGGGCCCAGGCCCUACGGGGCGCAGCAGGCGCGAAACCUCCACAAUGCACGAAAGUGCGAUGGGGCUACCUCGAGUGCCGCCUGAAGAAGGCGGCUUUUCCACUGUCUAACCAGCUGUGGGAAUAAGAGGGGGGCAAGACUGGUGUCAGCCGCCGCGGUAACACCAGCUCCUCGAGUGGUGGGGAUGAUUAUUUGGCCUAAAGCGUUCGUAGCCGGCUCAGUAAAUCCCUCGUUAAAUCCAACGUCCCAAGCGUUGGGCUGCGAGAGACACUGCUGAGCUAGAGGGUGGGCGAGGUCAGCGGUAUUUCUGGGGUAGGGGCGAAAUCCUUUGAUCCCAGGAGGACCACCAGUGGCGAAGGCUGUUGACCAGAACACGCCUGACGGUGAGGGACGAAAGCUGGGGUAGCGAAUCGGAUUAGAUACCCGAGUAGUCCCAGCCGUAAACGAUGCAUGCUAGGUGUUGGAGCAGCCACGUGCCGCUUCAGUGCCACAGGGAAGCCAUUAAGCAUGCCGCCUGGGGAGUACGGCCGCAAGGCUGAAACUUAAAGGAAUUGGCGGGGGAGCACCACCAGGCGUGAAGCCUGCGGUUUAAUUGGAGUCAACGCCGGAAAUCACUAGU